CUCCCCGCUCUCAUGAUGAGCCCAUGUGCCUCUGAGCUGCCGUGAUUCAGGCUUCAAAGUAAACGCUCUGAAGAAAUGGAGCCGAGC
Molecule: small nucleolar RNA, 87 nt
Organism: Echinops telfairi (small Madagascar hedgehog)
Lineage: Eukaryota; Metazoa; Chordata; Mammalia; Afrosoricida; Tenrecidae
Gene: SNORD105
Product: small nucleolar RNA, C/D box 105
Source: Ensembl